RNAcentral lists this ribosomal RNA (528 nucleotides) under Neofabraea kienholzii. RNAcentral describes it as "partial small subunit ribosomal RNA". It matches the Rfam family "Bacterial small subunit ribosomal RNA", at positions 37 to 915 of the family's 1533-position model. The record is from RNAcentral. Lineage: Eukaryota; Fungi; Ascomycota; Leotiomycetes; Helotiales; Dermateaceae.
UGUUAGUAUGCAUUAAUACAAAAAAAAUUAAUGUUUAAAAUGUUAAAAAAAAAAGUUUUUAAUAUUGCUAACGGUUUAGUGACUUUGUCACCUAAAGUUCUAGAUAGAAUACUGAUUAUGACAAUUUACUAUCUAUGUGUCUUGACCAAAUUACGUGCCAGCAGUCGCGGUAAUACGUAGAAGACUAGUGUUAUUCAUCUUUAUUAGGUUUAAAGGGUACCUAGACGGUUUAAUUAGUCCAAAGUAGGAUACGGUUAGACUAGAGUUAUAUUUAAGAAGGUGAGUAUUUGUGGAGUAGAGUUGAAAUUCUGUGAUACCACGAGGACUGGUAAGGGCGAAAGCAACCUUCUAUCUAAUAACUGACGUUGAGGGACGAAGGCUCGGGUCGCAAAGAGGAUUAGAUACCCUAGUAGUCCAAGCAGACAAUGAUGAAUGCCAUAGAUUAGAUAAUAUUUAGUUUAUAAACGAAAGUGCAAGCAUUCCACCUCAAGAGUAAUGUGGCAACACAGGAACUGAAAUCAUUAGACC